Molecule: ribosomal RNA, 492 nt
Filed under: uncultured bacterium
Lineage: Bacteria
Description: partial 16S ribosomal RNA
Rfam family: Bacterial small subunit ribosomal RNA
Source: RNAcentral
AGUGAACGCUGGCGGUAGGCCUAACACAUGCAAGUCGAACGGCAGCACAGUAAGGGCUUGCUCUUACGGGUGGCGAGUGGCGGACGGGUGAGGAAUACAUCGGAAUCUACUUUUUCGUGGGGGAUAACGUAGGGAAACUUACGCUAAUACCGCAUACGACCUACGGGUGAAAGCAGGGGAUCUUCGGACCUUGCGCGAUUGAAUGAGCCGAUGUCGGAUUAGCUAGUUGGCGGGGUAAAGGCCCACCAAGGCGACGAUCCGUAGCUGGUCUGAGAGGAUGAUCAGCCACACUGGAACUGAGACACGGUCCAGACUCCUACGGGAGGCAGCAGUGGGGAAUAUUGGACAAUGGGCGCAAGCCUGAUCCAGCCAUACUGCGUGGGUGAAGAAGGCCUUCGGGUUGUAAAGCCCUUUUGUUGGGAAAGAAAAGCAGCAGGUUAAUACCCCGCUGUUCUGACGGUACCCAAAGAAUAAGCACCGGCUAACUUCGUG